This 3956-nucleotide long non-coding RNA is filed under the name Setaria viridis. Its description in RNAcentral is "long non-coding RNA (SVIR_LNC006161)". The record is from RNAcentral. Lineage: Eukaryota; Viridiplantae; Streptophyta; Magnoliopsida; Poales; Poaceae.
CCCAUGGUCUUGUCUCCAGCAGAUGCCAAGGAGUUCUAGAACCUACAAUCCUAGACUGGCCUGGCACUAGCUACUUUUGCCUUGGUCCAGUCUGGUACCAGUAUCUCCUUGCUACCUGGCCAUGCACUUCCAUUUCCCGGUUCUUGGCUUGUAUCCCUGAUCAACUCUGAUUUUGCCGGACGCUCGAGUUUCUGCUGCCGUCUUGUUAUCCGUAAGUCCGGUCUUAACUUCAUCAACACUGAAUGUCCUGUAGUUCUGCAAUCCCCAUUGUACUGUUGCUUUGUACAUUUCUUGAUUCAGUCAGAGCAUUAGUUGUUACACUGUGACUGUAAGUUUACAGGGCGUGCUGUGGGACUAGUAGGCUACGAAGUCUUGUCAGAAAAUGAAGGGUGGGUGGUCAGAAAGAAGCGUUCUACAGUUAGUUUCCAUGACUAACAUUUCAUUUUGGAACUGAUUUUCAUAAGCAGUGAUCCAAACGUUUUGUGGUAGUCACUAGCAGCCAGUCAUAUGAUGCCAUAGGCUUUGAUUUUCAGUUGGUAUCCCCAGUAAGAAAUGGAGGUUCAAAUGUUCCAUUCUAUGGUUCAUGACAUUUAUAUGUUGGUGUGUUCCUCAGUACUCGGCAGAGCCUGGAUUAGCCAUGUUAAUCGGAUGAACAACAAAAAGUGUUAAAAGUUAGUAACACAACAUAACCACCUGCAGAUCAUGCAGUGAAGUGCAAUUUCACAAUUUUCACCGGUUCAUUGUAUGUGGACGUGUGGUCCAUGAGAGGAUUAACUGUAUUAAAGUGCUAGAACUUGCACAUCAUCCUCAUGAGCUACAAAAAGUACCACUAGACGACGGCCUUGCAUGCUAGAGACUGGUCUGAUAAGUACGUUUGCUUUGAUCCGGAAUAUAAUCAUUCAGUCAUCCGCUUGCUGGAUGAGUUAAUUGCUGAUAUUGAAGUAUGAACACAUACAAGAUCUUAACCUUAUGUUCUAACUAACUGAGGAGCAGUGAAAAGGUAACGUGGUAUCUGCUAAAAUAUCUGACUGGUUGGAGUAAGUCUGUGGUUAGCAAGGAAUUUGAUCAUUCUCAAAUAUCUCUUUCUGAAAAAGAAGAAUCACCAUUCAGCUUAGUUCUAUUCAAAAAGUCGGGUAUCCGAAACCAUAGUCACAAAUCAGUGACGAGGGAAGCACAGUAGGUUAGAUGGAAAAAAAAAUCUUGUUGUUUAUGUUUUUAUCACCUGGUCCCCAUGAUCAUUGAGUAGCUCGCUUUCAAUAGAAUGGUACAUCUUUUUAAUCCUUUCACACUUCAAUUUCCUUCAAUUCCUUUCAAUGAUCACUGUGAUGCAAGUGAACUGCACAUCGUUUUCAUUUGUUUCUUCAAUGUUAAAUAAUGCACACUUUUUAAAAUAUCAAGGUAUUAUUACUGUCAUCAAACCCAGCACACCAGUGCGCUGAUGUCAGGUUCCCUUAUUUUCAGGUAAACAGUGCUAAGAGUGCAACGUCAACCUCAGAUUUUCAAAUGUAUUUCUGGUUAGUUCUCGUGCUAUGCAAUUUCGGAAUAUCAAAAUCCCUACCUCUGGAUAGAGACACACUUUUGGACAUAAAAGGCUAUCUGAAAGAUCCACAGAAUUACCUACACAACUGGGAUAAAUUUCAUUCACCGUGCCAAUUUUACGGUGUUACAUGUGACCACAAUUCUGGUGAUGUCAUUGGAAUAUCACUCUCAAACAUCUCACUAUCAGGCACUAUAUCAUCUUCAUUUUCUCUUCUUCAACAAUUACGCACUCUGGAGGUUGGGGCAAAUUCCAUCUCAGGAAUUGUUCCAGCUGCACUGGCCAACUGCACAAAUCUUCAGGUUCUAAAUCUGUCAAUGAACAGUUUAACAGGCCAAUUACCUGAUCUUUCAGCAUUGCUCAACCUACAAGUUCUUGACGUGUCCACAAAUAGUUUUAAUGGGGCAUUCCCAGUAUGGGUCAGCAAAUUAUCAGGCCUAACUGAAUUAGGCCUAGGAGAGAACAGCUUCGAUGAAGGUAAUGUUCCAGAAAGCAUUGGAGACCUGAAGAAUUUAACAUGGCUAUUCCUGGGACAAUGCAAUCUUAGGGGAGAGAUACCAGCUUCAGUCUUUGAUUUGGCAUCACUUGGGACACUGGACUUCUCACGCAAUCAGAUUACCGGUGUAUUUCCAAAGGCAAUAUCCAAAAUGAGGAACCUAUGGAAGAUUGAGCUCUACCAAAACAACUUGACUGGUGAAAUUCCUCAAGAGCUUGCAACUCUAACCUUGUUAUCUGAAUUUGAUGUGUCUCGCAAUCAGCUGACUGGCAUGCUGCCUAAGGAGAUUGGUGACCUGAAGAAGCUGAGGAUAUUUCAUAUAUACCACAAUAACUUCUUUGGUGAACUUCCUGAAGGGCUGGGGAACCUGCAAUUUCUUGAGUCAUUCUCAACCUAUGAAAAUCAGUUCUCAGGAAAGUUCCCUGCCAACCUUGGCCGGUUCUCACCACUCAACACAAUAGACAUAUCAGAGAAUUAUUUUUCUGGCGAAUUUCCAAGAUUCUUGUGCCAAAACAACAAGCUUCAGUUCUUACUGGCUUUGACAAACAACUUUUCAGGUGAAUUUCCUGGCUCUUAUUCUUCCUGCAAGACACUUCAGAGGUUCAGAAUAAGUCAAAAUCAAUUCAGUGGGAGUAUUCCUCCUGGCUUAUGGGGAUUGCCUAAUGCUGUGAUAAUUGAUGUUGCUGAUAAUGGAUUUAUUGGGGACAUAUCUUCUGAUAUAGGCCUUUCAGUUACUCUGAACCAGCUGUAUGUUCAAAACAACAACUUCAUUGGGGAGCUUCCAGUAGAGCUGGGAAGGCUCUCCCAGCUGCAGAAGUUGGUUGCUUCAAACAACAGAUUCUCUGGCCAAAUUCCUAAACAGAUUGGAAAUCUCAAGCAGCUGACUUACCUGCAUUUGGAACAUAAUGUACUGGAAGGGCCAAUACCACCAGAUAUUGGUAUGUGCAGUAGCAUGGUUGACCUGAAUCUUGCAGAGAAUUCUUUGACUGGAGGCAUUCCAAACACACUGGUCUCCCUCGUCACUCUGAAUUCACUCAAUAUAUCCCAUAACAUGAUCUCUGGUAACAUUCCUGAAGGUCUGCAGUCACUGAAGCUGAGUGAUAUUGAUUUCUCUCAUAAUGAAUUAUCCGGCCCAGUCCCUCCGCAGUUCUUAAUGAUAGCUGGAGAUGAUGCAUUCUCUGAAAAUGUUGGCCUUUGUGUUGCAGACACUUCAGAAGAGUGGAGGCAAAGCGUCACCAAUUUAAGACCUUGUCAAUGGUCUGACAACCGUCACAACUUCUUAACAAGACGUCUUUUUCUUGUGCUGGUCACAGUGACAUCUUUGGUUGUUCUCCUGUCUGGGUUGGCAUGUCUGAGCUAUGAAAACUACAAGCUUGAAGAGUUCAAUAGAAAAGGGGACAUUGAGAGUGGCGGCAGCACUGACUUGAAGUGGGUUCUUGAGACCUUCCAUCCUCCAGAGCUUAACCCUGAGGAAAUAUGCAGCUUGGAUGGAGAGAAUUUGAUUGGCUGUGGAGGCACCGGCAAAGUUUACAGGCUAGAAUUGAACAAGGGAAGGGGAACUGUUGCUGUGAAGGAGUUGUGGAAGGGUGAUGAUGCCAAGGUCUUGAAGAGUGAGAUAAAUACCCUUGGGAAGAUACGCCAUCGGAACAUUCUGAAACUCAAUGCAUUUUUGACUGGUGGAGCAUCAAGUUUUCUGGUCUAUGAGUAUGUGGUGAAUGGUAACCUGUAUGAUGCUAUUCGCCGUGAGUUCAAAGCUGGACAACCUGAGCUUGAUUGGGACAAGCGGUGCCGGAUUGCUGUAGGGGUUGCGAAGGGCAUCAUGUACCUUCACCAUGAUUGCUCCCCGGCCAUAAUUCAUCGGGACAUAAAGUCGACCAACAUACUUCUGGAUGAGGAGUAUGAAGCUAAGCUUGCAGAUUUCGG